CUUCACCGACCCCAGCCACAGCGGGCCGCCCGAGGAGCGGUCCUGUCCGUAGGUGGCCAGCAGCGCCUGCGCCUC
This 75-nucleotide antisense RNA is filed under the name Streptomyces regensis. RNAcentral's name for it is "ASpks sRNA". It matches the Rfam family "ASpks TB sRNA". The record is from RNAcentral. Lineage: Bacteria; Bacillati; Actinomycetota; Actinomycetes; Kitasatosporales; Streptomycetaceae.